GGAGCUCUGGUAAGGUGAGGAGGAUGUGUCAAUCUUCUGUGGUGGUUUUACACCUGCAAAGCCCCCAGAUUCAGUUGCUCUCCAGGCUGUCCCAGUGAACAAUAUCAGCUCUCACAUCAGAGGAUUUAAAUACUUGUACAAGGCAAUGUGAACAGCAGAAGGGAAGUGAGAUGACUUUACUAUUGCUGGGAAAAAGCAGGGUCCCUCUGAAGAUAAUGGGUCCCUUUGUUUGCAAGACAGAGGGAGAGCAAGACCCCAAGGAGAAAACAAAGAUCAGCCUGUUUCUUUAAUGCAUUUUCUUGACGCAUUUCCAAGUUGCACGAGAAAGAAAGGAAGCAUGAGAAGAAUGAGGAAGCAUGAGAAAAAUGUUGUUUAAAUGCAUCUAGGCAUUUUUGUUUGUCAAAACUCUGUUCACUCUGUAAAUUUGACAACGAUUUCAAUAAAGUUUUUAUAAAACUG
Long non-coding RNA from Corapipo altera (White-ruffed manakin), 459 nucleotides. RefSeq lists it as uncharacterized. The transcript is spliced from 4 exons. Lineage: Eukaryota; Metazoa; Chordata; Aves; Passeriformes; Pipridae. The record is from RefSeq and is a predicted model, not a curated record.